Molecule: non-coding RNA, 303 nt
Organism: Orycteropus afer afer
Lineage: Eukaryota; Metazoa; Chordata; Mammalia; Tubulidentata; Orycteropodidae
Source: RefSeq, a predicted model, not a curated record
AUGCCCAAAAGGAAGGUCAGCUCUGCCGAAGGGAAGGUAAAGGAAGAGCCCAAGAGGAGAUCGGCGUGGUUGUCAGCUAAACCUGUUUCUGCAAAAGAGGAAACGAAGCCAGAAAAGGCAGCAGGAAAGGAUAAAUCAACAGACAAGAAAGUGCAAACAAAAGGAAAAAGAGGAGCGAAGGGAAAACAGGCUGAAGUGGCUAACCAAGAAACUAAAGAAGAUUUACCUGCAGAAAAUGGAGAAACUAAAAACGAGAGUCCAGCCUCUGAUGAAGCAGGAGAUAAAGAAGCCAAGUCUGGUUAA